UUUCAGGUGGAUAAGAGUUGCCAUAAAAGUUUUAUUGUCAUAAUAUGAGACUGACCAUAAUGUACAAGGUGCAUUGAAAACGUGAUCAUCUUGAGACAAAAUUUGGUUCUAAGAUAUUCAACAACAUUCAUACUAACCAAACAUCACUACAAUUCGUUAUAAUAUGGAUAGUGAACAUACUGCCAUAUUCACUAUAUGGACUCCAAUCGUUAUUGAUUCAUCUCUAUAAUUAAAUGCGCACUAAUUCUUUCUGAUAAUAGUCACUGACAGAGGCGGCCUCAGGGGGUGCCGAGUAGGGCAACCGCCAUAGGCCCCCGCGAUUGACGAAAUUAUUUGUAUCUAGUUUGUUGAUUUUUCCUGCACAAUGUUUCUGAAUCAUUAGCUUACGUUGAUUAAAGGGAGCUAAAUCAGUAUUAGGGAUCCGGGAACAAAAUCUUACCUACAGAAUUACAAUACAGAACGAAACUAAAGUACUUACAUAAGUAGCUUUUUUUUUUUUUUACAUAAUAAGGUCUAUAUCAUUAGAAGAGGACGAGCCCAUUAGCUUGUUGUGGUACAGAAGAUGUAGUCUACGCUUUUUGUUGACGGACCUGUGUAUGAAAUUCGCCCGGGGCCCCGCCUAUCACACUCGCCCCGGGAAGCCUCUGGUCACUGACUUUUAAUUCGUCAUUAUCAGAUGCAGAGACUUGAAGAGUUUCUAACAGAAAGGAGGCUAACAAUGAAAACUAACUCUAAAAUUGUGCACACUCAAAGAGGAAACAAUAAAAUAACAAGAGACUAGGGCUUGCGGACUACAAAACAGACUUCAGUGGAAUAAAAAUAAAAAGGUCUUUUUUUUUUUUUUUAAUGAUUCUAGUUUUCUACGUUCGAGAGAAGUUAUUAUUUUUUUUUCUGGAGAAAGAAAAAGACUUUCUUUUUUAAUGGAAUACUACAAAAUAAAACAAGGAAUAGGGUUGCUUACAAACCUAAUAAAUUGUAUUCAGUUUGUAUUGUCUGUGAUCUGUUGUCACAGAUAAAUAAAUAGUAUACUCAUGAUAAGUACUUUCUCACAAAACCUUCACAAUUGACAAUGACGCACUAUCAACAUAUUAGUACAGUCUGGGGGGGGGGGGG
Molecule: non-coding RNA, 1113 nt
Organism: Biomphalaria pfeifferi
Lineage: Eukaryota; Metazoa; Mollusca; Gastropoda; Planorbidae
Source: the annotation of a GenBank genome assembly